GAUAGAUGUGAGAUGGCAUGUGGAAGGGGUGCAAAAAAUUCCCAAAGGCAACCCAUCGCGAAGUAUUUAAGGGGGGUGCGCCGAGGGAUUGGAUUCAUUCAGAUUUUCAAUUCCUCCUUUCUUUCUAACAUUCUCUCCCUAUUAUCCAAUUAGUCUCUUUCUUCUCUUGUUUGAACAAGUCCAAAAAUAGUAAGGAUCAGUCUGAUUUUAGGACA
RNAcentral lists this long non-coding RNA (215 nucleotides) under Elaeis guineensis (African oil palm). Its description in RNAcentral is "long non-coding RNA (EGUI_LNC063777)". Lineage: Eukaryota; Viridiplantae; Streptophyta; Magnoliopsida; Arecales; Arecaceae. The record is from RNAcentral.